Molecule: microRNA, 22 nt
Filed under: Saccoglossus kowalevskii
Lineage: Eukaryota; Metazoa; Hemichordata; Enteropneusta; Harrimaniidae
Description: Sko-Mir-22-P2_5p* (star (passenger))
Source: RNAcentral
CACUUCACGCUGCAUGCUAUUG